GGGUCUGUCGUCCUCCUCAUUAUAGUCCUCCUAAAAUCAAUAGCAUUUCGUCGGAAUACAUCCUGUCUUUUCACCUUAGUAGUCCUAUGCAUAGUCAGUACUAUAGCCCCAAUCAUGGCUACUAAUAAAAUAGGACUAGGAACCAAAAACCAGACGGAAUAGUAGGUAUAAAGUAAAUUGCCCAAUGUUUCCAAAUUAGUCCAACUUCGUACCUUUCCGGCAUAAACCGUAUAUCUCAGAGAGGUCGUCUUUCUUCGUUUGAUGCCUACACCUCUUUCCUGAGUUCUAGCCAGGUCCUCGCAGCACACUUCCCUAGAAUCCCUAAGAUUGUUCCUCCUUCACCCUAUCAGGAAUAUAAGGGCAAAAAUUCAUUGAACUAGUUCAAUUCAUUAACAAAAAUUAUUGGUCGGCGUUGUCAUUAAAUUCAUAGUGGUCAAGGUCUUGGUCUUUCACCCGCCUCUGGAAAAGAUCAUUCAUGAUUUAGCGUGCCCGUUCUCUUGUAGGAUUAUCUACGGGGUUGUUGGCUAUAUCCCCCAAGAGUUCAACGAGGCGAGCCUUACUUGUAUAAUGCUGUCCCGCUAACUGCUCGAGCACCCGUCGAUACUUCCUGUAUGACGGUGUUCUUUCGAAGGAAGUAUCCAUGUCUGCCUUGAGGUAGUCGAUUAGGAUCCGAUGAACGCACCAAUACCCUUACUCCAUAGGGCAGAUUGUGAGGCUCAUUGGUGUCACCGGGUAAAGCGGGGGGUUGUGGUGGGGCCGACUGCUCCCUCCCAAAAAGGUUAUUUUCCUCUAAGGAGGGGAGCGAGGGUACAGAGGGGACGGAAGGGUCAAAGGGUAUCGGUGUUAAGGAAGAGGGCACCGAGGGAAAAGAUCUCAGAGGAGAGUCAGCGGGGACCACAUUAUAAGGACCUGCAUUUGAAGGCCCCGCGUCAUUCCUACCCGGCGCUUGGUUUACGCUCGCUUCCGCCCCAGCGGGUAACACCAUAUUCGCAAGAUAGGGCGCGGCCUCGGUAGCGAGGAGGGCCUUCACAGCAAAUCCAAUGGCCAAGGCCAGAGCCCCGGAGCAUCCAAUCUUAAAGACAAAAGAACAUAGGGCUCGACACCCCAUAGAUACCCCAGCCUUUGAGAGCAAGGCCCAAAAAAUGUCAAUGGAACCGAGUAUGAGACAAAGCAAAUAGAAGACACAGAAUAGAAAGAACAAGAUCGAAAGUUUGAUCAUCAAUCUCUUUAUGACACAUCGCGGUGCAAUAGUUGAACUAUUGGAAGCAAAUGGAAAAAGGAACACCGAGC
Molecule: long non-coding RNA, 1290 nt
Filed under: Vitis vinifera (wine grape)
Lineage: Eukaryota; Viridiplantae; Streptophyta; Magnoliopsida; Vitales; Vitaceae
Description: long non-coding RNA (VVIN_LNC007559)
Source: RNAcentral